RNAcentral lists this ribosomal RNA (402 nucleotides) under uncultured bacterium. Its description in RNAcentral is "bacterial SSU rRNA". It matches the Rfam family "Bacterial small subunit ribosomal RNA", at positions 358 to 774 of the family's 1533-position model. The record is from RNAcentral.
AGAAUUUUGGGCAAUGGACGAAAGUCUGACCCAGCAAUGCCGCGUGCGGGAUGAAGGUCUUCGGAUUGUAAACCGCUGUCAAGUGGGACGAAACAAAUGACGGUACCGCUGAAGGAAGUCACGGCUAACUACGUGCCAGCAGCCGCGGUAAUACGUAGGUGACAAGCGUUGUUCGGAUUCAUUGGGCGUAAAGGGUCCGCAGGUGGUCAGACAAGUCUGACGUGAAAUACCGGAGCUCAACUCCGGAAUUGCGUUGGAAACUGUGUGACUGGAGUACCGGAGAGGAAAUUGGAAUUUCAGGUGUAGCGGUGGAAUGCGUAGAUAUCUGAAAGAACAUCGAAAGCGAAGGCAGAUUUCUGGACGGUUACUGACACUCAGGGACGAAAGCAUGGGGAGCAAACA